GAUUUUUAUGUUGUAGCUUGUUACCAGGCUACAAGAGUCUCAGCAACACUACAACUACUAUGAUAACCAAAAUAAGCAGUAAGUUGACAAUGACUUCCUACUCCCAGCACAUGAGGAAGCAUAUCCAUGCCUAGCUUAGAGAGCAAUUAUAGCUUUUGGAGACCAGCUGGCCCAUCUGUUCCUGGUGCUGCUGCUACUACCAGCAAGGUGGAGUUCAGCUUGGAGGAGCUGCUCAGGCUUUUUCUUGGGCCUGUCUCCCAUGCCCAGUUGAGCCCCUGACACCUCUGGCACCGCCUCUGAUGUUCCAGGCUGUACAAACAGGCUACAGGGGAAAAAAGGAACUGCUUAAUAUGCUGUGAGAGCUCCUUGCACUAUGGAUCACUGUGAAGGGAAGCACAGUCCUGAGGGCAGCAGCUCCUGUUUGCAGCAUACAGAGUCCUUGAUUGAUCUUGGCCAUAAGGAUGAUUCAGAGUGAAACUGCAAAGCAGAGCAAAACCUUUUUUCUGCCUUCUGCAACUCAGAGAAAAAGAUACCCAGGGUAUCUCAGCCUCCUGAAUAAACCCCUGCGGUCACGGUGUUCAGCUGCUUGGUGUGGCAAUCCCCCCUCUGAGAACGACCCGGAGGCUGUCAUCUAACAAGAGGCACCAGUGCUGGAUGGGAUGCCAGGUGCCAUUUCCGUGCAGCAGGGCCAGUUCCAGCCCCUCCACCUGCCUACCUGGGGGUGCCAAGGACACUGAAACGACUGCUUCUCAACCACCUGGUAAAAUGUUUUGUGGGUUUUUUCCGGUUUAUUUUUAACACAGAUCAGUUCACUGAUCUCAUUUUCCAUGUGGCCUCAGGGGGUGCCUUGGGAAGAAACAGUUGUGCCAAAGCAAACAGUGUGAGAUGGGAACAAGUGGCUGAAGGUCAGCAGUGCUGAGCUGACGCUGUCCCGAGGAGCGCUGCAGCCAGGGCACUGCUCCCACCCGGCACGCACAGAGAGAUGAAUGCCUUGGGGGCCCUGCGGGCACUGCCAGGGGCUGCAGCAGCCCGCAGAUGAAGGCUGCUGCAGAAGGAUGGUUUGAGGGUUACAGUAUAAUCCUUCUGGAGGCUCUGACAUCACAAAUCAGUUGUGGCACUUGCAUAGAGCAAGGUAGUUCAGGCUAGUGUAUAGUCAGGGCUCUUCUUUAGCACUUUCCUUUUCUACAUGUAUGUUAUGAAGACAGAAAUAAUGGGGCCCUUAAAACACAAGAAGUGUUCUUUUAACACCCCAGUUAGAUAUCUUAGAAAGGUAACAUGUAUCACCUGCACUGUACUUCAAGUAGUAUUUAACUCUGCUUUUAUUAGCUUAUCAUUAUUUUCCUAAAUUUCAUUAAGAGCCUGAGGUUGGAAAAGUGCACACGAAAUAAAAACAAGCUCUACCUUCCUGUCAGCUGCUAACAGUCUUUCAGGCAGUUAAUCAGGAUCCUCUAUGAGAAUAACAGAAAUGAUAUAGUGAAUAAGUCCUGCUUGGUCAGGUUUAUUACUUAGUUUACCAUCUUUGCUUCCUUGAGAAGAUGGUUUCUGAGGCUAUAUGAGAAGGUCAAGCCCCUUUUGACCUUAGGGUUGUCAGUUGGAUCUGGAGAUCAGUAGAAAUUCUAGGACACAGCUGUGGAGGUGUGUGAG
Corvus moneduloides (New Caledonian crow) is the source of this 1644-nucleotide long non-coding RNA. Lineage: Eukaryota; Metazoa; Chordata; Aves; Passeriformes; Corvidae. The record is from Ensembl.